Molecule: long non-coding RNA, 12785 nt
Organism: Anopheles merus
Lineage: Eukaryota; Metazoa; Arthropoda; Insecta; Diptera; Culicidae
Exons: 2
Source: RefSeq, a predicted model, not a curated record
UUUACCUCCAACCUCGAGCAACCGUUCUUUUUUUUUGCUGCAUUACCAUCUAUUAUUCCCGUUUCCCUAAUCGCCACCAUACAUUUACAUUCAUUUGACCGUUGCAGUGCAUCCGCAUGCACCCUACCAACGCAUACACACGCGCUCGCUCACUCGCUCGCUCGCACGCACACACAUAGCCAACAGCGUGUAUCGUCGUCGCUGGUGCAAGGGGUUAGUUCGUCGAAAGCGACGUCCGUUACGUUCAGAAAGGUGCGAGCCGUCGACCGAGACUGGUGCUGUGUUUUGCCCUGUGCUUCCUCUGUCUGCCGAACGCCGUGGCGUACGUGACGUGUCGUUGUAUUUGAGAGCGAGAAAGCAAGCGAAUCGAGAAAUAGUGCUUGUGUGUGCGGUUGUGUGAAUGCAGAAUGAACGAGAUUUUGUUUCUUUUUCAUUGUGAAAGUAGCAGCUUCACGAUGCACGGAAAACCAGCACCGGUCGAGACAGCUACGCAUCUUUCUCCCAUCCUAACUCUGCUUUUCCUUGCCAGAAUUUUUUAUGGAACCUGACUUGCAUUACUAUAGAGUGUGGCCAAUUGAUGUACAUCCUUCACUAAAGGGCGAAAGAAGCUUACGGUACUGGAGAGCACUUUUCUAUUUGACUGGUGGUUCUGGCGGCGGCGUUUUGCAUUCCUGCUUCGAGUAAAAGCAAAGGAGGCGAACGAAAAAACAGAGAGUGAGAGAGACAUACGAGGAAAGCGAAUGGCACUGAUGGAAAAUCUUUCAAGGAAGGCCACAUCUUCUACCCAAGCUUCCAGGCGGGUAUACAAUGGGUGUACUUUUGUUUUUUUUUUCUCUCUCUAUCAUAUGGAAAGUAUUUUCGUGGCAAAAUCGGGCAAAUCUUAGCUUUCUUUGACAGCUGUACCUCCUCUCGACUGCCCCCAUCCGUCUUUCGACCAUUAUGCGAACCGCCGGCACUACCACUGUAUACUUAAGGGUCAGCAGCUGCGCUUUCACGGCAACGGGCAACCCCUUUUGUGCACCCAGAUCUGACGAAUAUUUAGCCCACGCGGGGCCCACGUGUGACAUUCGUGGCUUUGGGACCAAUUUCCACCUUUCUACACUAAGUAUCAAAUGUAAAUGGGUUUGAGUGUUGGGCCAAUCCUCGGUGAGAAGUGAGUUACUUAUUUUGUGACAGGAAAAAAAGAUGUCGUAUUACACCUCACCUCGGUGGGGCGGAAAAACAGUGGGGAACAGGCCCGUCAUACCGUGUCCCAAUGAUGGAGAAGCUUCCGGCUAGCCGGCGUGACAGAGCGGUCUUCCGAAGAAGAAAGGUAUCUUUUGUAAUCGUACUUAAUUUCAACGACAUUUUUUGUUUUUCCUCUCAGCAAAACCUGCCAUGUGGUGCAGCAAUAGAGCGCGUAAAAAAAUACGUAACACUUUUUCCUUCACUUAUGUUUCUCACAUCUCACCGAGUGAUGCCUCAUGGCGUUUUAGUAAACGGCCAGAAGAGUAGAUUUGCGAAACCAUUUCGAGUCGUGCUGACUCGCUUAAUGCACACCGAGCUGUUUAGCUUCGCCCCCUUUUUUUAGGAUGCAGCGUCGUAUUGAGAUGGGAUACAAUCGUAGAACUAUAAGGACGCACAAUCACAUGUGUAAGAGACAGAGAGAGAGAGAGAGAGAGAGCUCAGCGAGACCUCAAGGGACGUCCGUUCGGCUAAAAAGCGGUGGCCAUCCGCUAUGAAGACGAUUUGAUCCCGACCAAAGACAGCGAGCAGGUGCAACUGUUGGUGUGGUGUAGAUUUGCUUAUCACCUCCCUAUUCUCAGGUUGCGCUCCUCCAUUGCCUGGACUACCACUGCCUUCACACUUCAGAAUACGCGCAGUUGCGAAGGAUGGGGAACGAAUUGGGCUCACACUGUACUGGAAUUGCUACGUCUGUAGGAAAAGGGAUUGCUCCAGCUCAUUCCAAUCGGUUCAUUAUGCCAUCCAAUACCUGGGCCCCUCAUCAUAAAAUUGUAUCUCCUCAUCACAGAAUUGUGCAACGCGCCGAAGACAACUCCUGGCUCGCGCUUAGGCGUACGUGCGCACGGGAAAGAUAUGGAAGCUGUUUCAAGUUUGGAUGUUGCUAGCGACCGUUUUCAAAGAUGCCUAUCGUCUUCGUACCAUUGCGUCCAGACGAUUGGUCAGUUUCAUCCAGCUGCACUACUACCCCAACUGGGCCACUGGUUGGCAAUAAGUGGCUGUGGAUUAAAGUAUCUGAUGGCGGAGAAUGGAGUUGGUCUACAACCGCGCGCGUGUGUCUACUGCAUUCUUCUAAGGCGUGUGGUCGCUGCGUGACGGCGGGUUUGGAGACGUCAGCGAUGGUGCAACCUGCCCAUCGCUUCGUUGCAGCUUGCUGUCUGGCCAAUUUUUCUCUUCAAUCAUUUUUUUUUGUCUCCUCGGAAGACGGGCAUCAGACAUGCAAUAGAAGCUACGACGUGUAUAGAAAACGUCUUCACGCUGUUCCAGUUGGAAGAAGCUGGUGGAGACCUGACUCGACGAGCGCCCAGCUUUUGUGUCUACUUCAUCCCUCUUGGCAACGUUUAGAAUGUUGCUAUGUUUCACCGAAGGAGAUGUUUCGCCGAUGUGCCAUGGCAUGUGUGCCAUAGAAGUUUGCGCGGUCCAUCCAGAGACCUGUGGAUGCGUACUUCGGCGCUAGUUCCCCUCACGUUGGCUCUGACUCUAGCUCGGACCAGCGUAUCGCAAGAAGUUUCUCUCGAAAGCCCAGGCAAGCGUGAAGAGGAAGCAGAGAGUCGCGAGAAGAUGGGCCCAUCAUCGGUUAGGGUUUUCGGUUCCGGAGCGGCGGGAUGGCGGGUUCCUGUGGUGGUGGUCGCGGCGGCGGCUUCAGGGUUCCGGAGGCGACGGUUUUGCUCGGCAAGCGCGAAGAGCCCCUGGACACGGACGGUGUGCCAGCAGGUGGCCAGCGAGAAGAGAGCAAAAUCCAACGACGGCUUUUAUUAUAGAAGAUGGCAGACUACGGCAGAAUCUCUUGAAAGGUGACGUCAAUUUUUGCGCGACUGCCCUUUUGAUGCAAGUGCGCGGUCCAAUGUCACCGAAUGGUCGGCAUUGAUUUGAAUUGGAUAUUUCUGAACACUAUCCUAACGGCCGACAGUAUCUAUGGCUAUGGCGUACAGCGUACGGAGCGCAAAGAAAUUGAACAUUAGAUCCAGCGUCGGAUGGAAGAGAUUUAACCAGUGACAUAACAAGAUUUAAGGAACUAAUUGGAUAAAGCUUUAAUGUAAAGAUGGAUCAUCUACACAGAAGUGCUUUCUGACACAUGCGAAUGUUUCCUGUUUCGCUUGUGACAACACGACACCAGCGUUUGGUUGAUGUGUACCCCAGCACACUAGACGAACACAAUUGCAGAGAUACAAGCUAGCUUCAGCUACGGCACACAUUAUAGCAACCAUAUUUCCAAGCGUUGCAAAAUGUUGCACCAUCUUCAAACGCUUCCCUGAUGAUGUUGAUGAUCCUAGUUUGUUGCGCUGUUACGACACCGAAGAUGUACUGCGAUGCACACAAUGCCCCUGACAUUCGACUGGAAUGUAUUCUCUACCCCUGAUAUGACAUCACACAUAUAGACGACCAAGUUGGUUACCUGCACAAUCGUGUCUGCAGUACAUGCGAGUGCUCCAGACCUGUAGGACGAAUUCUGCAGAUGCGGCCUAUAGAUUGGGGCAGCUCUGAUGCCACACGACGUUACGUUUUCUAAACUCUCCGAGGCUUUCAUUUCUGCUCAUCGAAGUUCAAAACCUUAUCAGCAUAUGCUUCUCACAAGUUUCGUGCAAACAUACACCUUGAAGAUCGGAAACUCUCAGCAAGAGCAUAUCAGUUACCAGCUGCUGGAAACACGCAAGAGUACUGAAGAAAGGCUAAUAAUACGCUUAGGCGUUCAGAAUGAGUUCCACAUUCCUCUGAGAUUCACGAACGGGAGGGAGAUCUUCUACAACAACUUCAGAACACAGUUUCACGCGCGCUUAGGUGUUUCUGCAUCUGCGUGAGCGGAUACUUGAUCAUACAUUUAUAGGACAGGCGAUAUCGUUCACCAAGAAGUUCGAAACAUUGUGCUGCCAAAUAUCAUCCAGCAAUCAAGAAUCAAUUGGAUACAAGGUUGACGUCGGCUUCUCAACCUGACUAGUGACCGUCCGCUGCUAUGCAGAUGGUGCAGUUUUGUUUUGUGGCAAGGCGCUUCAAGUUCAAUCAACCCGUGUGCUCAACAAGUAGUUGCCCUAGCUCGAUCGUUUCGUGCUAGACAACAGGACCGUGUGUGUGCGUAUGCGUGUGGGUUAGUUUCUUCCUUGGAAGAUCUCGCAAGUGAUCGGAUGUUCCCGCCCAAGGGCUCACAGAAUGGAGAUCGGAUCAUAACGAGUUGAAAGCUGCUGGUGCGCUUGCCACACUUUGUCGUCCUCGUUGGAAGGAGAAGUCACAUUAGCAUCUUUGAUGUCCAUGUGGUACCCUUCAACCCACCACGGCCGCACACAGAUGAUGCUUUGUUCCCGAGUUUGCACGGUCGAUUGCGCAGAGCCUUGCGAUGCACUUCGGUCUUGUUUCCAUGUGCAUCUGGAUGCUGUUGAUAUGGAGGCGGAAGAAAGGCAGUAUUUGUUCUCGAAAGCCCAGGCAAGCGUGAAGUGGAUGCAGAAAGUCGCGAGAAGAUGGGCUCAUCGGUUAGGGUUUUCGGUUCCAGAGCGACGGGAUGGCGGGUUCCUGUGGUGGUGACGGCGGCGGCGGCGGCGGUGGCGGCGGAGGCUCCAGGGUUCCAGCGGCGACGGUUUUGCUCGGCAAGCGCGAAGAACCUCUGGACACGGACGGUGUGCCAGCAGGUGGCAAAGCGAGAAGAGAGCAAAAUCCAACGAUGGCUUUGAUUCCAGAAGGCGCGGAGUGCGUUUCGAACCUUUUUGACGAGAGUGUUCGAACGCGAAUGGUGACGUCAUUUUUGUGCGAAUGCGUUUUAAGACAUAAGCGCGCCACUAGUGUCACCGGAAUGGGUUUGAAAUUAUUUGAAUGCGGCAUUUCUGGGCAUUAUCUUUGAAAUGGUUGACAGUAUCAUUGCUACGAACUAGAAAGUAUAGCGAAAGCGAAGAAGUUGAACAUUACUCCAAUUCAUUCUUGAAAGGCGUACCACGGCUUAUCACAACUUUGAAAUGAUUGUUACGACCCAUAUCGAAUAUCUUGCGAACCUUGUACUGUUGUUUACGUUGCAAUAAUUUCAACCGAAGCACAUUUAGAUAUGGAUAGAGAUGUUUCGAUUGUCGGCUCUCGUAUUAUCUUAUCGAUGUAUGACAAUUCUUACCUGACAUAACAAAAUCAUACAUGCGAGAGGAAGAUGCGUAUUAUUAUUUUAUGUAUAUCUACUCACACAAAACCAGUGAACACAAGUGAAUCGAAGUAUAGUCAGCAAAGUGGUGCCAGUUGUUGCCAAUUUUAUGCAGAUUUGUACACCAUAAGAUAUAGUUGCUAUCAUGUAGAUGCUCCCUAAGUCUUCAAAGUCUAUAAACAAAAACACGAUCCUAUACUGUAAUCUAGACAUGGAAACGUGCAUGAUUGAUAGUGCAAUGCCUUAGCAUAUGCAUCUCGUUGCUGCAAAUUCUUUGAAGAAUCGUGCACUAUAACAGAAAACAUUGAUUGCAAAAUGAUUACGAUGAUCAAGUAAUUAGUAAUCUUUUCCGCGAUUAGGUUCCGCCUCAGGGUGACCUAGAAAAACCAUUCUACCUCUAGAAAUGCUUUCAAAUUUGAAAAGGAAUUUAUUCCCAUGCCAAAAAAAAACAAAAAAAAACUACAUUGAAGGUUGCCGAGACGACUAGAAAAAUGCUUUGUUGUACUGUGUUAGCAGGCAUUGAGUAAAGCAGGUUGGAGGUAUAGAUCGAAUGUUGAAAUAUCUAUACGAACUCUACCAUAACCGCGAGGCAAGAUAUGUGAACACAAAAAUAAGCAAUUCUGAAGCUCUCGUAGCAAACUGAAGCAAAAAAGUGAAGUGAACACCACAAUGGAAUCAAAACACAAUCAAACAAACAAGGACAGGACCUGUGGGAAUGCGGGCGGGCAAACGAAAAAAAGCGGAAUAAGUUUUUUUAUUUUAAGAAAACGUACUUACCAAAGAUUCAGUGAAAAUAAGGAUAAAAGAACGCCAUUACGAUUCAACUGGUGACAGAUGCAUUAUCUCUGAUGUGCGAGAAUCAAACAUUCUGGGAGCUUAAGCUCAAAACGAUCGUUUUUUAUGUACGAAAACACCCCCUACGGACACAUUGUUUAUCGACGGCAAAGAAUAAAUUGCAAUCGCUUUGCAGGAUGCCCCGCACCCCUUCUCCCGGGGUCGUGGAGGUUUUGGGCAAUGCUGAGCCUAGUUGAGUUGUUGUAAAAAAGAAGGACAGAAUCAAGAAAAAAAAAAGGAAAAGAUUAUUUAAAAAAGCAGCCGUUUUUGUGUGUUAAACAUUUUCUGCUUUAACUUGUUUGUGAAAACUGUUUGAUGUUGCCCCGUAUCCUCCGUUCCUAUCCGUCACGGAAAACACCCUCGUGCCCCAACACAUCCGGGCCAAGGGGGUGGUGCAAACCAGAACCAAUUACUCUACCGGGCGGUGGGAGGAUCUCAACCGAAGGGGCAGAACUGAAACAAACCAAUUACCAAAGAAAAAAAAAAGAACUCGAAUAAAACUACAAAUUCCAUUUUCAAACGAAACCGAUUCUUUUUUGUUGAAGAAAUUUUUUGCCCAACACAAUUGGACAGUAGUGUGUCGUGUAUUUGCCGUGUAUUGCGUUUGGUAAAAUCUUUUCGUUUGCUUUCGUUUUUUUGUUUUUCAUUUAUUCGCAAUAAAUUGUUCGUUUUUUUAACUCUAUACCAAAAAAAGUGCACACGACGCUCUAGCAUUGACAUUUCGAUGUGUACUAUUCACCAACCCACCAACACGCUGGUUGUAUUGGCGGCGCCUUUUCCAUCAUUUUUCUCUCUGGCUCGCGGGCACCGCCCAAGGUAUGGCCAUUCGGUCGCUCGAGACGGCUCGAUGCGUGUGUAUGUGUUGCAUGUGCUUGCUAAGCUGUGUGCGCAGGAGAGAGGUGAUAGGCAACGAUCGUGUAGUCGUCCCACUAACUCUUAAAGAAAGAAGAAAAGAGGAAAAGUUUGCUGCCCAAAACUGGCCAAAUCACGGUUCCGAAACGCAAUGUGUGAGUGCGUGUGCGAACAGACCCGGUCCCAAGCGGAACAGGAAGAGAGAGAGAGAAAGAGAGAGGAAACAGGCAAACACUAGUUUUGCACGAAAUGCUCGAAAAGUUAACCGCCCGCAGUUUUGAUGCAAGGGUGUGUCCUGUGAUUGCUGCACGAACGAAGCGCAGGUAACGUGUCCCAUUAGUGGGCGCACAGAACCCACCAAAAAGACCGCACCGAAUGGUGAACUUACACUCUGUUACUAAUUUUGUUUCGAUUUUAGUAUCUGGCGUUUACUUAUAAUGCGUAGUGUGUGCGCACGUUUGCCCACGUUUGGUCAAUUAGUGUUGAUUAUUGUGAAGAUCACACGUUUGCGGACAAAAAAACAGCGAACAGCACAGAUGCUAUACACCGUAAGGGAGUUCGUUACAUGCGUGUGAAAAGUAGUCCGAGCGAAGCGCGAUUUCGAAUUCGCAAACAACUUAAAGACGUACGAAGAAAUGAAGGAAAAAAACUACGGUGUAGAAGGAACAGAAAUUAGACCAAACGCGCGCACGAAUGCGUAAGCAGGAAGGAGUUGCGCGGAGUGAGACUGUAAGCGGAAGAUACAGGAUGUAAGAUGAAGGAUGAAGAUUACUCCACUAGAUGUGUCGAUGAUAGAUACUAUUGAGAAGGAAUAGCUGUUUAUGUGCAGCUAUUGCACGUUAUAUUUUCGAGCGCUCCGUAGUCUGUUUACUAGAAGCGUCGGCUUCUACAAGGCCAGAUGGGAUAGAUUCCCUCUCGAACUGUGGCCGGGGAGAACUUUUAACUUCUUUAUCCACCUGCGUGGAACUUUUGACAAGUGUAGGAGGGUCUUAUCUAGAAAGGUCCGGAUGUAAUUGUGUGCUUCCAAAAAGAAAAAAAGAAGAAGCCUUUGAAUAAUGAUAACAAAAAACCACACAAAGGUCACAUGCUCCACCGCGCAUGAUAUAUGGGUCACGUGAACCACCAACUGCGUCUCCUUCUCUCUUCAUAGCCACUCCCACACCAAUUGUCAAAUACCCCGUGCCAACGUCUGGCCCCCUCCCUCCCCCCCUCUUACUAAGUGGGUCCUAGGAAAGAGUGUGCAUGUGUGUGCUCCUCGAAACACUCACUCGCGUUCGCGCGCGCAUACAUUCACUUUCUUUUCGAUUUUCCUGCCCCGUAUCAUGAGAAUCUUCGCGAUCCGUGUGGCAAUGUGCGUGUGUUUGUGUGUGUGCGUGUGCUGCCGUGUGUGUCGAGGCGCUGGAGAGACCAUCACCACCAUCCUUGCGCGGGUAUGCCGUCAUACGGCGGCCGCCAGUACCUUCAAACACAUCGUUUCUGUACUUUGCUCUUCCUUUUUUUCUUUUCUCUCUCUCUCUCUCUCUCUCUCUCUCUUUUCUCUCUUUCUCUCUCUAUCCAAACGUUGCAGCUUGUGUCUGGCCCGGAUGGUUCCGGCAGCAACAGCAACAGCAGCAGCACAACUGCCAGCUUCCCACGCCGCCACCCCAACAACCGAGUGUGCGCCAAGUUUGUGGAGUUGUGUGUGUGUGUGUGCAAGUGUGCGCGUGAUCCUUCAAGCAAAUAUCAAUAUCUACAUGUAUAUCAUAAAUUAGCAAACAUCAACUACUACAAAUACUCCUGCAAAUCAUCAUGCCGUCAUGGUCAGUGACACACCUGCUCGGGGAGGGGCUGGGAAUGCGCUGGAGAAGCUGGUGGCUUUCGGUUGGGAGUGGCCCAACUCGGGGCGGAAGACGUCGUCGGGUAGCUCCGUCCUAUCCUGGUGUGGUGGUGGUGGUGUGUGACCGAGUGGUUGUGAGCGAUCCAAACUCUCCCGUCGCUUCGCCGUGGUAGUGUCCAGACGGUCCCGUGUGUGUGUGUACGUGCCUUCUGCACCCCCGCCAUGCGUCCCAUAGCGCCGACUCGCACGCGUUACGCCGCGCCCUCGAAUCUCCGGUAACGAGAAGCGUCCGCCGCUGGCGCUCCCGUCCCUUUUCGAUGGGGGUGUGCUAGUGUGCGGGCGCGUACAUUUAGCUUACAUAGACUAAGUUUCUUAUUCUUCCUUUUCGCGGCUAGAUCCGUGUCUGUCGCCUGCGGGCGAGAGACGGGGCGCUUCCAAAAGUGGCUGUGUGGUGCUGGCGCGGCCGGCCCAUGUCCGCGGCGAUCCCUCCGGCGGUGCUGUCCUGCGCCUCAGGGGUGCUCUGGCCUGCCGGCCUGGCCUGUAAGUGCGCCUGUGGCUAUGUGCGUGUGAGUGUGUCCAUGUGUGCGUGCCCCUUAGUGUUGUGAGUGUGCGUGUGCGCGUGUUCCACGAUCGCCACAUUCGACCGACGCCAGCCGGUCUGCAGUGCCGGAGCAUAGUGUCCCCCCCCCCUGGCGGGAAACACCGCCGCGAGACCGCCCGGCCGUGGGUCUCCGGGCAGGCCGGGUAAUCUCGCCCAGUCGCGGCGCCCCUUUCCGCAAUGGAUCUAACAACCUUCCAGUGUGCAGUUAUAUAGCGUAUAAAUGUUACGACCCCCACAGCCACAGAGAACAGUACGAAACGAAACCACAAUUUGCACGCGCUCGCCGAACGCCCGCUCCAAAACGGCGAUCAACCGAGAUCACGAGUCGACGUAGCUGCGCGUUCACGAGAGCGGACACUUUGGAGCGGGCCAGGGGGGCGCCCUAACACCUACGAUAGAUAUAUAUAAAUUAAAAAAAAACAAACGCCCCAACCCAGCGCGCGUUCUCUCAGCGACUCAGAAGCGAGCGAUUAAACGGUUAAACGGUUUCUUUUUUUCUUUUCGCUCACUUUUCUACGACCGGUCCGUGCCGCUGCUGCAUUCGGGCGCGGCCGCUGCGAGCUGGCUCGGGCGGCAGCAAAUGGUAGAGUGUUUGCGCGUGCGGGUACGUGUGUGUCGGUGUGUUUUUGUGCGCGUGCGCAACACGCGAGCCGUUACGAUCCUGGUCACGGCACCAGUUAAAACCCCAAACAAAUCAGGUGUGACUUAACGGACGGGUGUUAUUGCACUACCACGGUCAGGCAUGGGGCACGACUGAGCGCCGACGAGAAUUUGGUCGGUGGUCGAUGAUUAUGCUGACCUCUUACUUUAAACGUUAUGUGUAUGGUCCUUGGCCAAGAAGGUUUUUAAUUUUUCCUGGACUAUUUCUCCGUUUUCCACGAGGAUUUUUCUCCUUUUCUAAUCAUUUAUUCGUUUUUUUUGCUUUAUUACAACACGUUACGUUACGUUACAUAACGUUACGUAACAAUGCGUUACAUAGCGUUACUAUGCGUUACAUUGCGUUAUGUUGAAAUAAAAAUCGUUUCCCCACUUCUCCUUCCCCUCCUUUCUCUCCCACCCGUCUCAACAGUGCCUAGAUGCGCACGUGCGUUCUUCUGAUCGACAGAAUUUCAACGGCUCGGCAGGAUGGCGGUACCAUUUCGCCCGGUGGGCUGCGUCUGCGAUCUACCAUCGCGCUAAUGACGUGUACGUGCGCUACGCGAGUGUGUGUAUGUAUGUGUGUGUGGGAAGCAAAGGAUCUCCCUCUGAAACAGCGAGGAGACGGAUCGGGCCCAGUGGAAAGGGCCUGUUCGCGCAGGGAGGGGCAAGCGUUACCCAUGCUUGCACUCGCUGCUUUGGCAACGGUCCGCGCCCCCUACCUCUAGUCCCGACCCGUUCCAGGAUCCAUAGUGCAAAUGAAAAUGCAAAAAAAAAACAGUUAAAAAAACAUAACUCUACUCUAUGCUCCACAAGUGUGCCGUGACGGUAUCUUUCGCUACUUUACGCAACAAGAACGAACCACGCAUACCGGACUCUCUUUACUCACCUCCUAUCUUUAAGCUCUAAUCCUACUGUCGGCGCAACUAUAGCGUAUAUACAUUAAGCUGCCUGCUGCAAACCGCCAUAUUCUUCGCCAGCAUCGUAACCUUCCUACCGCUAGAUCGUAAGACCGUGCCAGCCAACAACAAAACAACGACAAAAAAAAACAACAACAAAAACAACUUUCGGUUUUCAUUUUUCCUAGUGCGUAUUCUUUUUUCCGUUUUUUUUAAAUUUGGCAAUGCGAUCGGUACGGCCGGCGGCCCAGCCCGGUGUGUCUGGUUUGCCCGGGUGGAGCCUUUUUGCGGGUGGGCACGUACGUGACCCACCUCUCCACUUCUCGCAAGCCUUCUGCGCGAGCAUCCGCCGUUGUUCCCGCGCGAAUUCUGUCGAUCCCUCGGAAGCGCACCUUGUCCGCUUGCGGGCUGCAUUCUAGCAAGGUUUAGACGUAUGGAGAACUCCCGAAUCCCCGUUCCAAAUAUCCACCAAUCCCUCCCCAACACUCCCCCGAUUCCCGGGACUUCCGGGCGCCUAGCUCGAACGUAAACUCUCCGUCAAAAGCAUCCAACCGCCCAGUUUUGAAACGCUCCGGAGCACUUUCCAACCGCGAACUAGCACCGGUCGCCGUCUGUCGUCCCGUACCCGGUGCCCCAACCGCACUCCUACCAUUUGGGGUCAAACCACCUUUUUUUCGAUUUUACCAAUUUUUUUCGAUCAUUUUUUUUAUUUUCUAAAAAUUGAAAACCUUUCACUUCUGCACGGAAUGCUCUCUCACGGUGUGCGUGCGUGCACUCUCCUCGAGUGCGAGUUCCUUUCUCCUCCUCUGUCGGUGCGUGCCUCCUGCAGCAGCUUCCGGUUCCGUUUUGCCGUGCCGCGCGCGCGUGGGCAGGGUGACGACGGUCGACACGGGGGUAUGGUGUACAUUGCACGGCCAACGGCCACAGGUACACCGAGCGCUACGUUAAAGCAAAAACCAACAAACAAUCCGCAACAAAAUUACACGAGACUGCGACCCGCUUUCUGCUGCUCCUUCCCCUCCUCCCUGCCCACGGCCUUCAAUCACGUCGCGUACUAUCCGCCACGACCGGGUUCGGGAGGCGGUACGGGUGCGCCGCGGGACGGCGUACGGUCGCACCGGCCGGUUGUUUGGGCAGCACCGGUCAAAGCUGGGUGGCUUCAGGAAGCUGUUUUGACCAUUGGGAAAUUCGUUCGAGCUCGGUGCCCAUCACCCACACCACACGCUUUUGUCUGUUUUCGGGUUUGAUUGUUUUGGAAGGUCUCUGUUUACUCUUUUCUGGUUUUUGCUCCUGGAGCACAACGGACCUCUCCUCCCGCUCUUGGUCUCUGCCCUCCCUUACAUUUCUCUCACCUCCGAUCGCUCCCAAUCCUGUGUGGCUCCGCGAGGCACUACGCGGGUCCGAUCGUUACUCGAAAAGCGAACAGUAAACGAAACGCGCGCUAACGAUGAUACACGAACCGCCAAAUGCAUUCGAAACACGCGCUCGUGGUUCCACCUCGAGCCGGGUAAAGAGAGAGAGGAAAAAAACACGUCUGCGAAUGUUACAAAGAAAGCGUGUAACGCCAGAGAAAACGCAAAAAUCGCGCUGACACGCAGUGCGCAAAUGCCGGUCGAGUAAGACGUCUGAUACAUUGCGAUCGAUACGAAGUAGAAGCGAGUAUGCUAGCGAACAAGGAAAGCGAAACAGAAGAGGAAAAGAAAUACGUAUAUAUACAAUUAAAAAAGAAUAAAACGAAAAAAAACUACCAACUUAAAACAAUCCACCCGAUAAAGCUACACCCGAUAAAAGAACACAAAAAAGACAACUCGGAAA